RNAcentral lists this ribosomal RNA (497 nucleotides) under uncultured bacterium. RNAcentral's name for it is "partial 16S ribosomal RNA". It matches the Rfam family "Bacterial small subunit ribosomal RNA", at positions 28 to 507 of the family's 1533-position model. The record is from RNAcentral.
GAUGAACGCUGGCGGCGUGCCUAAUACAUGCAAGUCGAGCGAACAGAUGAGGAGCUUGCUCCUCUGACGUUAGCGGCGGACGGGUGAGUAACACGUGGAUAACCUACCUAUAAGACUGGGAUAACUUCGGGAAACCGGAGCUAAUACCGGAUAAUAUAUUGAACCGCAUGGUUCAAUAGUGAAAGACGGUUUUGCUGUCACUUAUAGAUGGAUCCGCGCCGCAUUAGCUAGUUGGUAAGGUAACGGCUUACCAAGGCAACGAUGCGUAGCCGACCUGAGAGGGUGAUCGGCCACACUGGAACUGAGACACGGUCCAGACUCCUACGGGAGGCAGCAGUAGGGAAUCUUCCGAAAUGGGCGAAAGCCUGACGGGGCAACGCCGCGUGAGUGAUGAAGGUCUUCGGAUCGUAAAACUCUGUUAUUAGGGAAGAACAAAUGUGUAAGUAACUAUGCACGUCUUGACGGUACCUAAUCAGAAAGCCACGGCUAACUACGUG